ACUUAUUUUCGUCAGAAAAAUAUGACAAUGAAAAAGUUGAAACGGACCGACUAUCUUCAAAAAUUUUAUAAAAAUUUUAGUGAGUUUCCAUGGCUGUUCAUCAUGGAUUUUAUAAAAUUUUUGAAGAUAGUUUAUUGCAUGUUUUCAUUUUAGUUAGACUCACAAUUUACAUUGUGUUCAAUAGUUAAUCUUGAGUGCCAAAAAAUAACAUUGACAUGUGCAAUUUUACCACAAUUAAAAUAUUAGCCUACAUAUGGAUGGUUAUGAUUAAUAUCUUAAUUAUUUCAUUGUUGAAUUAUGAUUCAAGAGAUAGAUUGAUUAACAAAUUGAAGAAAAUAAUAAACAAAAUUAAGAAGAACCUUGUCAAUAUAAAAGGUAGCAUGACAUGUUAAGAGAGUUAAGUUACUUGAAUACUGUAUGAGGUUAGUCAUAUUCUUAGCACAAAAUUAUCAAUACAAGUCCGUGAUUACUUUUUGAAAAUGAAACCGAAAAAUAUAAAGGAUCCCAAUAAGGGGACCAUUGGAACCCAAGAAAUAAGAUGAACAAUAUGGUUUUCCAUUCACAUCCCCAUUCUUUCUCACUUGUUAAAUCAUGUGUUAUAGUAUAUGCAUUAAAGUAAAUUGCACUUUUGGUCCAUGUCCUAUAUUAAUUAUUUAUGUAUUAUCCAAAGGGGACGAUUUUGCAUUUCUGAUUCCUAGUUCAUUCUAUAAAACUCUGUUCAUAAGGCGUAUUGAAGGAAAUAACCAUUUUCUUCUUGUCUUAUUCAUUUUCUUCAUCACAUUCGUCUUCUUCCUAUAUUACCCUAAAAUCUAGCCCACAAAGAGGUGUUUUCUUCAUCACAUUCGUCUUCUUCCUAUAUUACCCUAAAAUCUAGCCCGCAAAGAGGUGUUACUGAAAAAUGUGGAUUUUAAGGCCUUCAUAUUUUGGAUUUGUAUUUGUUGGAUGAAGAAAGAGAUGAUUUGUUUUGGUCUAUUUUAGGGUUUUGUAGGAAGAAAGAGCAUGUUUGUUCAAAUGUAGAAUUAUGUAUAACCCUACUCGUGCCAUCAUCCCACCUAAAUUAUCAACUGAACUCCUUGAUAACUUUUCCAUUAAAAACCAAAUAUGAGCAACAUGAACUUGACACCUAAAGAAACUAAAUCCGACUGGUAGUAUGAUUUUGAUUAACUUGGGUUGAGUUUAUGUGAAGUUACUUGACAACCGAAGGAGACUCCUACAUCGUAAGCGCGAUAAUCAAAAGUCAAAGAGAAUUCGGUUGGAGCAUUCCAACUACAAUGUUGUUUAUAGGAUUCGAUGAAGAUAUACAUAGGUAAAUUUUCUUUUCCGCAAUUGAAACUUAUGAGUGAGGAUGAAGUUUAAAGCCAAUAAGCAAUGGGUGGUGUGACUCGUGUGAAAAAAGAUCUUGAGGAGGAAGCGAAAAUACAUGCAGCGAGACCCGUGAAUUCUUAAAACAUUUUUUGCAAAUUAGUAAUGGCAUGUGAUGAUGCUCUUUGUCGUUGCCACAAUCUUCAAUCCCCCUAAUAAAUAAAGAACUCUUUGCCACAUGUCCUCUUCUCCUUCAUUUGGACACAUGACAUUUUCUAGAAUUUUUGAAUUUUCUAUUUUCCACUUGUCAUGUUAUUGUAUUUUUCAUUUUAUUAAAUUAAAAUUCCACAUUUAAUAUGUAUGGUAAUAUAUAUGUAAGGUAUUUAUUAAAAAAUGUUUAUUUAUAUAAUGUAUUCAAUACAUUAAAG
This 1730-nucleotide long non-coding RNA is filed under the name Lactuca sativa (garden lettuce). Its description in RNAcentral is "long non-coding RNA (LSAT_LNC003941)". Lineage: Eukaryota; Viridiplantae; Streptophyta; Magnoliopsida; Asterales; Asteraceae. The record is from RNAcentral.